Molecule: long non-coding RNA, 285 nt
Organism: Sebastes umbrosus (honeycomb rockfish)
Lineage: Eukaryota; Metazoa; Chordata; Actinopteri; Perciformes; Sebastidae
Exons: 3
Source: RefSeq, a predicted model, not a curated record
GGAGACCACACCCCCCUACACAAAGACAGACUAGACAGACAGGGGAAGAACACACAGGAGACAAAAGGGCAGCGAAACAGAGGAAACACUGGGAAAACUGGAAUGCCAGCGUACACAGGAACCAGGACAAGCAGCAGGGCAGCAGCUUCUCGCUCUCUAUGCAAAGUAAAGAAAGACGAGACUGAGGCUUCAUCUCAUCACCGCUCCACUGCUGCCUGUGAAGUAGGAGGCUGAUAACGGGACGUGCAGAGGCUGCUGUUUGGAUUUGGACCACUCUCCACUAUC